UACGAAGGGGGCGAGCGUUGUUCGGAUUUACUGGGCGUAAAGGGCGCGCAGGCGGCGCAUUUUGUCAGGCGUGAAAGCCCCGGGCUUAACCUGGGAACUGCGUUUGAUACGGAUGGGCUAGAGUUCGGUAGGGGAGACUGGAAUUCCUGGUGUAGCGGUGGAAUGCGCAGAUAUCAGGAGGAACACCGGUGGCGAAGGCGGGUCUCUGGGCCGAAACUGACGCUGAGGAGCGAAAGCGUGGGGAGCGAACAGG
RNAcentral lists this ribosomal RNA (253 nucleotides) under uncultured bacterium. Its description in RNAcentral is "partial 16S ribosomal RNA". It matches the Rfam family "Bacterial small subunit ribosomal RNA", at positions 524 to 776 of the family's 1533-position model. The record is from RNAcentral.